GGCAGUGUUGAUGUGUGCCUGUGAGUUGUGAGCGAGGCAGAUUUCCUCGCGUGGCCGGCACGACCUUCACCUUUGCAGAAGGCAACCGGGACCCUCAGUUGAUUCCAGUUCAAAAGUUGCUGUGGUCCUGGAAAUGAGGAUUCUGGGCAAAACAAGAAAUUGGGUGAUUAUGCAUUCAAGAUCUAAAGAUGCUUUCCUUUCAUCAUCUAGAAUGAAUUUGUUCAUUUAUCCUGAUGAAAGGUUAAAGAAGAUAUUGCCAAGUGUGAACAAUAACCUUCGAUGGAAAUGAUAUCAUCAAUUCCUGAAAGUGCAGAACAAUCUAUUUUUAGGAAGGGAUGUGCUCCAUUGAGCUCCUGAUUUUGAGACCACUUUUAUUUAUUUAUUUUUAAACUUAAUUUAGUUUGAUAUUUAAAA
Molecule: long non-coding RNA, 414 nt
Organism: Homo sapiens (human)
Lineage: Eukaryota; Metazoa; Chordata; Mammalia; Primates; Hominidae
Gene: YAE1-DT
Product: YAE1 divergent transcript
Source: Ensembl